CAGCUGCACCUGUGUAAUGCCUAGAGCCCCUGGGGAGGGCUCAAGACAGAACCCCCGAUACCCUGUAACAGAGGUCCGCUUGCUCACGGUCUCACAACUUUGUGAAGCUGGGCUCUAAUCCAGACACUCCUUCAUUUCUUUCUGGGCAGGCUGGAGUAGCCAUUUUUAGUUUGAGGCCAGUCCGUUGUGGUUGCUAAGACGUGGUGGCCAGAGACUGAGGCUUCACAUCUGUGUGGCUCGGGCAGGAGAGAAGCUGUGGAGAACCUCCAAGUGCUGGGGGAAGGAAGCUAACUGACGGAGAAAUGAGGGCGAGAGGCGGUCUGGAGUGCUGCUAACUUGCCUGAAAGUGAGGCAGCGUCAAAUCUCGACCUUCAGAGCCCUAAGGACUGGGGCGUGUGAGUGCCCGUGUGUCUCCUCUCUCCUGUUCUGCCUUCGAGAGCUGUAUGCUGCCCCCACCCCGGUUUCUUUACUGGUUUUGAGAUCAAAGCCCCAUCAAGAACCUGAGAAGAACUCUUACCGGGGAGGCCGGGGAGGCUGGUGGAGGUUGGCAGAGGGACAUCUGUGCUGCUUGCAGUCGGCCUCCUUGGUCCUCCUCACUCUCUACCGCUCACAUAGAAUCGUCUCAAUCAGUUGAGCCAGCGUGUCACUGAAAAGUCCCUCGCUUCAGUCAGCGUGCCCUUCCCUGUGUGCCGUGUCUCUCCACCAUGUCACGGGUGCCCGGCUGUGCUGGUGAGUUCUACCUGUUCACGGGACACAGCCUACAACCACCUUGGAAGGGUUUCAGUGAGGAAUUCCCUAGAUCAGGUGGGCCUGUGGGGGACUGGAUGGAGGAAGACCCAGGCCACUGCGAGCAGCAUGGUUCUCCAGGCUGGGGCUUGAAGUAUGUAAAAGUAAAGACGGCCAGCAAGAGAUCAAGCAAGCAAAGGCGAAAUUACUCUUUUUGUUGUUGACUGUGGGUGUUAUGUGAGUAGGAGCUUCGAGCUUUGGCCUCCAUGUCUCCCCAGCGAGAGACGAAACCUGGAACUUUACACUGGUAUAAACCCUUCUCUCCCUCAGGUUGCUUUUGAUCAAGGUGUUCUUUCACAGCAACAUAAGAGAAACCAAAAGGUAACAAGGAAACAGCUCUCUCGGAGAGUGAUUUAAAGUAACUGUUUUAUCAGGGGUGUUACUUAAAACCACAGAGAGGGAAUUCCUGAACACUUAGUUGGAAACGCUCACUCUUGUGAUAAAUUAACCUCUAAAUACUGGUGACUUAACUCAAUACAAAGCCAGUGAGUCAUUUGGUAUCAUUCAAAUGCAAUUUGCCAGGCUAGAGAAUAUGUGCUCCAUUCGGUCUACACAGGCCCAUGAUCUUUCUGUCUUGUGAGUCUCCAUAUUCAGUUCAAGGCUCCAGGAAUCUCUGAGGAAAGUGAAGCCAGUAGAUGACUUCAUGGUGAGCCUAAGUCACAUGGCCCCUACCAAACCGGAAACAUGCUAACACAUGAGUCCAGCUGGGAACCUGAAAGGAAAGAGAAGUGAAGUCAGUGAACACAUGACCACUCAUCCACCAUACUUGAUACGGCAGAGAGGGUCCUGUUAGCUUUGAUCCUCUGUUACUUACUUGUCCUUAGGCCUUGGGCCUCAAUAAUGAGGGUAACACCAGGCAAAGCAUUUUGGAAGUUUUUUUUUAAUGAUUUACAUGCUAUUUGAACAUCUAUGAGCUAAUUCGGUGGCCACAUUCAUUCUUCCUUCUCCUUGGCCUCUUUCUCCUUCUCACCAUUAGACAGUAUUUCACUUUUUUUUUUACUUAUCACAUUUUAUUUACUUGUGGGGAAUGGGCACAGCAUGUGUGUGGAGCUCAGGGGACAACUUUCAGGAGUUUUCUCUUUCUACCAUGUGGAUCCUGGGGAUCCAACUCAUGACCUCGGGCUUGGGGGCAGGUGCCUUUAUCUGCUGAGCAGUCUCACCAGCCUGUGGUCACAUUAUGCUGCCCACACUGACCUUUAGCUCAUGGUCUCGAGUGGUCAUUCCCCACUCAGCCCCGUCUUUCUGGGUAGCAGCACCUCUUGGCGGUGUCACUUGCUUAUGGGGGCAGUUUGGGAAGACACUGAGGACACUCGGACAGCCACGUAGACAGGAUGUGCUGUGGGAAGGUGUGAGUAGGGUUAAAAGAAGCCAGGUGCACAGUGCGAACCUUUCCCGUGACUUUGGAGCAUACAACUGGAGCUUCGGUCAUCAUCAACAAUUAUCAGAACUUGUAUUGCAUCUUAAGUUCAUCUUUCUCCCUUAAGGUUUUGUAAAAGCCGCUCUGUACCUCUGUUCUCCCACAUUAGUGCGCAAUAUGCUCUCUGCUUUACCUUCAGUCAGGAUCUGCUCAGCACAAGUCAGUGUGAGUGUGCGGGGACCUCAUUCAAUGGCAAUUGUGUCAGAGAUGCCUGUGUAAAACACACAUCGAUAUAUCGAUUUUGUUGCUGUUGUUGUUUUGAAGUAGGGUCCUGCAAUAUACCCCUGGAUGGCCUCCUAUUAGAGAAAAUUCUCCUGCCCAGACCCAGCUAGGUUUGUUUUGGAACUGCAUGAGUGAUAUAUAGGGCUUCUCAUAUGUGAAUUUUGUUUCAAUAUGGUAAACAUGUCAUCACAAAGAAUUGUUAAUAAGCAAUGACAACCAAAUAAAACAUUAUAUUUAUUA
Molecule: long non-coding RNA, 2665 nt
Organism: Mesocricetus auratus (golden hamster)
Lineage: Eukaryota; Metazoa; Chordata; Mammalia; Rodentia; Cricetidae
Exons: 2
Source: RefSeq, a predicted model, not a curated record